Long non-coding RNA from Cyprinus carpio (common carp), 1470 nucleotides. RefSeq lists it as uncharacterized. The record is from RefSeq and is a predicted model, not a curated record. Lineage: Eukaryota; Metazoa; Chordata; Actinopteri; Cypriniformes; Cyprinidae. The transcript has 3 exons.
CGUCGUUUUGGAGAGAACUCAACAACACAAACACUUGGGGCAGCGCUGCACUGUUCCCGCGGGCCCUUACCAACACAUGCUGAGAACAGAGAGACAUGGACAGAGCUCCAGCGCUUACGACACGUGAGAGGACAUUUGGCAUUGACGUCAAAACUGGUGUGCCGCGUCUGAAUAUGCACAUGUGGAAAUGAUGUUCAAGAUCUACUGCUGUAGUACCUUAAUAUUAAGUAAAAACCUUUUUUUUUGGAAAAUGUCCUUAUAUAAAGCUACUGUACAACUCUAAAAGACAUUAAAUGCUGUGCAUGAGUAGUACUGACUACUUUAAAUUGUACUGUAUUUUUGCAAAAUAAAUAAAUGUAGUCCUUCUGAGCAGCAGAGACUUCUUUCAAAAACAUCUUACCAACCCUAAACCCCACUUUGAAUGAUAUGCUUGCAUUGAAUGAAAAGGAGCAGCUUGAACAUUAUUCAAAAGAUUUCUUUUCAUGUUCCACAAACUCCUACAGGUUCAGAUUGACACGAGGGAGAGUAAACGAUGCAAGAACUAUUCCUUUAACAGGGUAUAAAGCGUCUGCAGUCUCUGCUCAGUCUGUGUGUGGUUUCAGUGGGCUGUUAAUGAAGUAAAAGUGAGUUUGAAGUCCGUUUGGUAUUCCUCUCAUUACUGCCCAUUCGUUGACCCAUCCGCCCGGUGAUGUGUCUGUAAUUUAUCAAGGCCUCUGAAGGCUGUAAUGAUUCAGGCUUUUUAAUAUCCCUGCACUGCAGUCCUCCAAAUUUAGAGGUAGAAAGUGUGUGAGAGAGUGAGAGUGAGAGAGUGUGUGUGUGUGUGUGUGUGUACUCAGCAUGUUUUUUUUUGCUCGCCUCACAAAGGCGCCCCUAAAUUUAUCCUGACAGUCUCUGGGGAAAUGCCUGGAGAACAGUGCUUAUAACCACAGAGGGGCAUGCAGAGCAUACAACUAGAACAAGAGCAGCCGAGACAUUUCUCUAGAACAAAACCUGUCACGGGACGUUAAACUUCCAGUGAUUUUGACAGGUCAAAAGUACACAACACUUCCCUGAGAGCACAAGUAGACUACCAUUACUAAGACAGAAUAUAAAAAGCCAGUUUGAUUCCCACAAAAUCUUAUUUUCUGAAAAAUAAGUGUUGCUUGCCCUUGUAAAACUCACAGCUGUGGUUGCUAGGGUGUAGUGAGUCAUUGCCAGGGAGUUGCUAUGCUAUUGCUAAGGUUUUCUGAGCAAUUUUAAGUGCAUUAUGUGGUUGCCAGGUAGUUGCUAUGCUGUUGCUUAGGUCCUUUGAGUAAUUUUAAGUGUGUUAUGUGGUUGCUAGGGUGUUCUGAGUUGUUGCUAAGGAGUUGUUAUGAUGUUGCAAAGGUCCUCUGAAUAAUUUUAAGUGUGUUAUGUGGUUGCUAGGGUGUUCUGAGUUGUUGCUAAGGAGUUGUUAUGAUGUUGCAAAGGUCCUUUGAGUAAUUUUAAGUG